UACGUAGGUGGCGAGCGUUGUCCGGAUUUACUGGGCGUAAAGGGAGCGUAGGCGGACUUUUAAGUGAGAUGUGAAAUACUCGGGCUCAACUUGAGUGCUGCAUUUCAAACUGGAAGUCUAGAGUGCAGGAGAGGAGAAUGGCAUUCCUAGUGUAGCGGUGAAAUGCGUAGAGAUUAGGAAGAACACCAGUGGCGAAGGCGAUUCUCUGGGCUGUAACUGACGCUGAGGCUCGAAAGCGUGGGGAGCAAACAGG
RNAcentral lists this ribosomal RNA (253 nucleotides) under uncultured bacterium. Its description in RNAcentral is "partial 16S ribosomal RNA". It matches the Rfam family "Bacterial small subunit ribosomal RNA", at positions 524 to 776 of the family's 1533-position model. The record is from RNAcentral.